UGGCAAACGGGAGAGGAACACAUUGGUAACCUACCUCUAAGACGGGGAUAGCCCGCCGAAAGGCGGAUUAAAACCCGAUAGCAAUGGGGGGUCAUAUGACAUUCCCAUUUAAAUAAUUUUUUGCUUAGAGAGGGGCCUAUGCCCUAUCAGCUAGUUGGUGAGGUAAUGGCUCACCAAGGCAAUGACGGGUAGCGGGUGUGAGAGCACGACCCGCCUCACUGGGACUGAGAUACUGCCCAGACUCCUACGGGAGGCUGCAGUCAAGAAUCUUCCGCAAUGCGCGAAAGCGUGACGGAGCGACGCCGCGUGCAGGAUUAAGGCCUUCGGGUUGUAAACUGCUUUUCUGUUUGAAGAAUUCGUGACGGUAAAACAGGAAUAAGAGGUCGCUAACUCUGUGCCAGCAGCAGCGGUAAUACAGAGACCUCGAGCGUUAUCCGGAUUCAUUGGGCGUAAAGCGUCCGCAGGUGGCUUGGUAAGUCAAUGGUUAAAUCCCGAGGCUCAACUUCGGGGCCGCUGUUGAUACUGUCAAGCUUGAGGCUGGGAAAGGCAAGCGGAACUACCGGUGUAGUCGUAAUAAGCGUUGAUAUCGGUAGGAACACCAAAGGCGAAGGCAGCUUGCUGGAACAUGCCUGACACUCAGGGACGAAAGCGUGGGUAGCGAAUAGGAUUAGAUACCCUAGUAGUCCACGCCCUAAACGAUGCGCACUAGAUAUUGGAAGUAUCGACCCUUUCAGUGUCGUUGAAAAAAGCUAACGCGUUAAGUGCGCCGCCUGGGGAGUACGGCCGCAAGGCUAAAACUCAAAGGAAUAGACGGGACCCGCACAAGCGGUGGAACAUGUGGUUUAAUUCG
RNAcentral lists this ribosomal RNA (850 nucleotides) under uncultured bacterium. Its description in RNAcentral is "bacterial SSU rRNA". It matches the Rfam family "Bacterial small subunit ribosomal RNA", at positions 96 to 953 of the family's 1533-position model. The record is from RNAcentral.